Long non-coding RNA from Xenopus laevis (African clawed frog), 499 nucleotides. RefSeq lists it as uncharacterized. The transcript has 3 exons. NCBI's taxonomy places the organism in Eukaryota, Metazoa, Chordata, Amphibia, Anura, Pipidae. The record is from RefSeq and is a predicted model, not a curated record.
GGAACGGAUUUAAAAGAGCGCAUGGGGCUGAUUUGGGCUGCUGCUUGGCGUCUUUGCUGAAAUAUAAACACAGAUGAGGACCAGCGCUAAAAAACAGCUUGAGGGUAGACAAAAGAAACAGAUUGACUAAUAUAGUGUAGUAUUUUUAACCUUUGGUUUGAUUGGUGCUAAGGUGAGCACACACUCUGUAGGGGGAGUGUUUUUACUCCUUCACCUUUAUGAUUGUUACCAUCACCUUUUCAACCAGACAGUGCAAUCAUAUAUCCAAGCGGUGUUAAAGGGGUUUACAGAAUGAGCUCCAGACGGUCACAUUCAUCUCACAGGGGUGAUUCAAGGGACAGACAUCAUGUUGAACAUAGAAGGAAAUCUGCCAGAAGGGAGUGUGAAGCAGAGGGGCGUAACUAAAGAGGAAGCAGACCCUGAGGCUGCAGGGGUGCCCAGGAGGUAUAGGGGCCCCAUGAGGCUCUAGUUCACAUACAAUUUCAAUAAAUAUUGAUAA